RNAcentral lists this ribosomal RNA (253 nucleotides) under uncultured bacterium. RNAcentral's name for it is "partial 16S ribosomal RNA". It matches the Rfam family "Bacterial small subunit ribosomal RNA", at positions 524 to 776 of the family's 1533-position model. The record is from RNAcentral.
UACGUAGGGUGCAAGCGUUAAUCGGAUUUACUGGGCGUAAAGCGUGCGCAGGCGGUGAUGUAAGACAGAUGUGAAAUCCCCGGGCUCAACCUGGGAACUGCAUUUGUGACUGCAUCGCUGGAGUGCGGCAGAGGGGGAUGGAAUUCCGCGUGUAGCAGUGAAAUGCGUAGAUAUGCGGAGGAACACCGAUGGCGAAGGCAAUCCCCUGGGCCUGCACUGACGCUCAUGCACGAAAGCGUGGGGAGCAAACAGG